UGAGUGCCUCAGCAUCUGUCUUCCUGGACCAAGUUUGAGAGCCUCUACACUGAUGAGCACCAAGGAAAAAAGGUGAAGACCCAGAAGCACUCCAAUUACCUGCUUGUGAGUAAUGAAAUAUAUGUUGUUCUCAUCACCCUUCGUUUGUCAUCAUUUUCUUUACAGAUGUCUGAAAAUGUACAGUAGGCUACACGCCAGCAGGUCUCACCAUAGUCAACAUCAUCAAGGAUUGUCACUCCGACCUGAGAAGAGGCCCCAUAGAGACACGGACAAGGACCAGCCACUGUUGCCAGUGCACAACUGAGGACCCGACCAGCCUGCUGCCAUCUAUGAUAUAUAGUACCCGCGGAGCGGUCUGAAGACGUGGAGUACACUGCAGCAGGUAUCACAUGACCAAGGACUUGGACAACGUCUCUGUUUACAUCUAUAGUGUAUUACACAACUGAAGAUGUGCACAGUACGCUACUGCCUGCAUCCUACCACCACAGAGGAUCCGAUAUGCAGAACCAGCUUCAAAAACCAUUGCAAUUAUGAAACACAGUUAAUAAAUGCUUAUAUACAGCA
This is a long non-coding RNA of Engraulis encrasicolus (European anchovy), 564 nucleotides long. RefSeq lists it as uncharacterized. The transcript has 3 exons. The record is from RefSeq and is a predicted model, not a curated record. Lineage: Eukaryota; Metazoa; Chordata; Actinopteri; Clupeiformes; Engraulidae.